GACCUGAUGGUGUAGUGGUAACACACCUGCUGAAUUUAAGUAUUCUUCAAUUUCCAAUAAGCAGGAGGCCCUGGUUUGAACCUGGGUCAGGUCA
Mycena leptocephala is the source of this 94-nucleotide non-coding RNA. Lineage: Eukaryota; Fungi; Basidiomycota; Agaricomycetes; Agaricales; Mycenaceae. The record is from the annotation of a GenBank genome assembly.